Peromyscus leucopus (white-footed mouse) is the source of this 187-nucleotide long non-coding RNA. RefSeq lists it as uncharacterized. The record is from RefSeq and is a predicted model, not a curated record. NCBI's taxonomy places the organism in Eukaryota, Metazoa, Chordata, Mammalia, Rodentia, Cricetidae. The transcript has 2 exons.
AAGAGAAGCCUGGCAUUGCUGCUGUUACUUUGUGUUUCCUUUCCUUGGAGUGGGCUGCUUCCAGAUACCAGCCAAAAGCUUAAGUAUGUGUUUCCUGUUGUCCUGGGCUUUUCCCCUUUCUCUAGAUGUUCCCUCCUGUUUCCUACAGCAGCUUGCUGAUUUCCAUGCUUGAUAAAAAAAAAAAAAA